UGUGCUUUUCCGAUAUGGCUCUUGCUUGUUUGAACCCAAGAGCCCGAAUGAAGCCACUAGGACUUUGUUUCCCUCUCCAUCUCUUGGUCUGGCCGUCUCGGUCAUUGUGACAGUGACAACCUCAGGUCUCUUCCCUAGCUCUCCCAGAAUAGCUCUGGGGGGACCUUAGUUAUCCUGACUUAGAUCACAAGCUCGUCCAUGAAACGCAGUUGCUGACCAGGAGAGUGAUGGGCUACUUCAGUCAGGCCAUGUGCCUGCACCUCUGGUCUGACAUCAGAGUGGAGAGGAUGUAGCUUUGCCUGGCCUGUGCCAUAUGCAUUACAGGAAACAGAGCCUCUGUUAGAAGGAAGAGGAAGGUAUUCUGAGAAGAAGGGGAGACCACAGAUGUCCAUGGAACCCAUGAUGUCCACUUCCUGUCUAGUCAUACCCUUGACCAUUUGAGUAGUACCCUGUGGUGCCAGCUUGAUCAUAAAUGCAAUCUUAGAAGUCAUGUGGCCUUAGUUAUGAGAUGAUCACAUAUACAAGGUGUAGAACAUUGAUUCAUGUGUGUGUGUGUUUGUGUGUAUUUUGGUUUUUGGAUUAUCAUUUACAUUGGGAGUGGGCACUAUAUCCUCGUGGGCCAGAUGCACCCUGUAGCCUGUUUUCUGAUCAAUCACACAGAUUUGUGUAGUAUUGUCUGGGACUACUUCCUCUCUACAAUGGCAGAGCUGGGUAGUUCCACCAGGGACCUUAGGGCUCGCAAAGCCUGAAAUCUUUGCUAUCUGACCUCUCACUGAAAAGUUUGCCACCCCCUGCUCUAAAUGGAAACACAUCCUUUUAAAACUCUUCCAGUGAUGAUCUUACUGGUCCCUGAGAACACAUCGGGACACUCCUGGGGGUUCCCUGACAUUCGCUGGGGCUUACACAUGGAAGAUAACAAUUGUUAGGAGUUAAAACUCCGAGUCAGACUGACAGAUGUAAAAUUGUACUGACUUCCCUUUCUCUGAGACGGCACUGCAGUGAGCCCUCCCCGGUGAUGUUUGGUAGAGCUUGGCAAGUGUGUGGCCUGUUUGGACCAGGGUAAGUGACUAGAUGGUGUAGACACCACACCCGUCUGAUCGUUGACGGGCAGUGUCCUAACUCGUCCUGGAUCCUGAGUGCGGUUGCUGAGCAGUGGGUUUUCCAGCAACAGUACCUCUUUGUGUGCAGGUGCUGCCAGCCCCUGCCGCGCGGCCCGGCAGUCCCGUUGGGCAUGCAGGAAACGCCUGCUGCUGCAUCUCAGAGUGGCUGCCGCUGGGAUGCUCGAGGAGGGUGUUGUGAACCUGGCCCCCCCCCCCCCCCGCCUCUGUCUCCGCAAGCCUGGGUUUCCCACCAGUUGUUGCCCAGCUGUCUGUGCUUUGUUACAUUGUUUCAGGCUCCCUGUGCUCUGUGAGUGUUUUGCUUGACCUCCCCCUGGGUACUAGACUGGCUUUAGCUGGGCCCUAAGCAGCUGUUUGGUAUUCUUCUGGUAUCCGUUUUCUCCUGUGGUUGGCCGGCUGGUCCUAAUUUUCUGCGAUUGAGGUUUUUGACACCUGCAAAGUGACUCUGUAUCGCUGCUUGGUUGUUGACAGCCUUGAUGCUUUUUUGUUCUUUGGGUGCCCCAGGGGGCACCCUUGAUAAAAUGUGUUCACUAAUGCGCAGCAGUGAUAGGAGAGUUUUUCUUAUUGGCAAGGAAAAAGGCCGGAUGUUUCUGCUUUGACCUGGAUUGUCAUCUUGCACACUCUUCCAGAGCCUCCAGUUGUCACAUGGUUGCAGUUUGGGUGCAGUACUCCUCAGGUAGAAAAAUUGGUGUCAGGCCCAGGACUGCCUACUGCAGGAUUAUAUCCUAUUCCACUUUUCAGGAGUGUUGUUAACUUGCGCUGCUAGAAGUGUAAGUUUUACAAAAACAGUCUUACCUGGCUUUGCAAAAUUUGUGCCUCAAAGAUUGGUUUGCAGGUUUAAAAUGAUAGCUAGAUUAAUCCUUAUUGAGUGAAAAAUGCUGCCUUUGAUAGUAUUUUCAAUAGUGAAUUUGAAGAAUAACUCCUUUUGCCUGCAUAUGAAAUGAACUUGUGAGGCCUAGUAAAUAAAUGGAAUAACAUUUUAGCGACCAGCUUCCUGUUCUACUUAAGAACAACACCAAAAAAAAAAACCCUGUUAAUUUGAUUUUCAAAAGGGGCCUAUUGAAAAUUCUUAAUUCGUAAGCCAGAGAAUUAAACGGUUUCUGUGAAAGACAAGUAGAAGGGUUUUGACCUGGAGCUAGUGAAAUCAGUUGACAAAAAAUUAGGCUAGAAGAGACACAUGAAAUCGAACAUACAUUGUAAUACUUGUUUAAAGGGUAGCAUAAUAUUCUAAGAGUGGGGAGUGUUCAAUUCUAAUGUUAAACUUGAUGAGUUGAUAUAUAAUAUAUACGCACGUAUGUGCAAUUCUCUACUUGCCAUAAGCCAAAGAAGAAACAAUCAAUUUACAAAUAACACAGAGGCAGUAAAUUUGUUGGCAGCGGUGCUAGGCCUGUUGUAAUUCUGUAGUUUUUUUCACUUUUCAAGUAGUGAAUUGCUGAUGUUGCUCUGAGCCAAAAAUAUGGUGAUAUGUGAACGUGUCCAGGCAGCACUUACAUUAUGUACAGCUUGGAGGUAUUUUGCUAUCAGUGAAAGACUUUAUGGGAGUGAUAGGAAAAUCUGUGCUGUUGAAAUCAUGUCCAUAGAAUCAGUGUUUAUAUUGAAGUUACCCUCCCAGCUCACACUGCAGAUUUAAAGGUUUUGCUUGGCGCUGUGUGAUCAGUGGAGACACAGUUCUCCUCUGGCAGGGGCUCACAUCUGAAGCUAGACAUCUUAUUGGCUCUGCUCUGAUCACAUUGAUCAUUUUGAGCCAUCGUCAAGGAGAACGUGCCUUCCAACCUGGAUGCCCUGUUUUCCCCUGCGAAGUUCAAAGUACAUCACAGUCUCUCUCUUAGUUCCUCUUCUUUCGAUCUGACUGUCAUAGUGCGUGUCUUUGUCUUGGGUCCUUGCAGUGAUGCUUCUGUCUUUUCUAGGCAGCCCCGUAUUUCCAUCUCAAGUCAUUUCCAGCUCACCUUUUUGGUACUUAAAUCAA
Non-coding RNA from Vicugna pacos (alpaca), 3084 nucleotides. NCBI's taxonomy places the organism in Eukaryota, Metazoa, Chordata, Mammalia, Artiodactyla, Camelidae. The record is from RefSeq and is a predicted model, not a curated record.